AUACGGAGGGUGCGAGCGUUAAUCGGAAUUACUGGGCGUAAAGCGUGCGUAGGCGGUUUGCUAAGUCAGAUGUGAAAGCCCCGGGCUUAACCUGGGAACUGCAUUUGAUACUGGCAGACUAGAGUAUGGUAGAGGGGGGUAGAAUUCUUGGUGUAGCGGUGAAAUGCGUAGAUAUCAGGAGGAAUACCAGUGGCGAAGGCGGCCCCCUGGAUCAAUACUGACGCUGAGGUACGAAAGCGUGGGGAGCGAACAGGAUUAGAAACCCCAGUAGUCC
RNAcentral lists this ribosomal RNA (274 nucleotides) under uncultured bacterium. RNAcentral describes it as "partial 16S ribosomal RNA". It matches the Rfam family "Bacterial small subunit ribosomal RNA", at positions 523 to 796 of the family's 1533-position model. The record is from RNAcentral.